AUAUACGUACAUAAUUAAACAUAUAUUAUUAUAAUUAAACAUAUAAACCGGCAAGAGUUAUUGGUUUGUUAAAUACUGAAUGUUAAAAUGGAGUUAAAAAAUAAACAUCUCAGUAAUAAAGUCGUCAAAGGCGUUUAUCACAUCAUUUACGGUAUGAAGUGAAAAGUGAUCAACAGCGAUUGUUAAGAAUGUUUAAAUCUACGGAAUGCACAUUGUACAAUUUUAUAAUGUGCGCAUCAAUAUAAUAAUGUAUAACAACAUAUUUUUCAUUCAGUUAUCACAUUGUGCUGAAUUGUUUGUUUCAGGUAACAGAGGACAGGCAGGACAAACGUUAAUGGUUAGUUACCAGAGUGAUGACUAGUAAAAUAAUUCAAAUACGAGAAUCUUGCGGAUUUGGAUAAAUCUAACAAACUGUAGUUUUUAGUGUAUGGAAACAUGCCUUUUAUCCGUCAGCAUUUAUAGCCACAAUCAUGGCAAAAGUUCCCUGGAGACGUAAAAUACUACUGUUCGCUUACAUAUGUCGACUUUGUCUCCCCCUAUACAAUAUUGUUUUUACAGGCAUUUCACAAAGCUUUCACCUAACCACUUUAUAAGCUGUCAACAUUGAACCGGGGGAGGUGGGAGUUAAAAAUUGCUGUUUUUGCACGUAUAUGAUAAUUGCGCAAGUCAAUUUCCGCGCCCGUGCUGUCCACAGUAUUUUUCCAGGAUUGUAGUAUAAUCCAUUAUUUAUUUAUUUAUUUAGCUUUGCCAACUAGGGCAGGGUCACCACAACAGCAUAUGCCAAUUACUGUGGGCCCUUUUUACCUAACCCACCCUGUCAACUUUCCCUGUGGGAGGAAACCGGAGUACCCGGGGAAAACCCACGGCUUUCGGCAGAGCGUUGACUUUUACUCUUUUCACAUGGGGACUGGGUUCGAGUCGCAUUGAGAAUGUACUUAGUGAGACUCGAACCUGCAGCCUCAGAGGUAAAAGGCAAGUGCGCUAACCACUAAGCCACCGAAGCCUCUAAAAUGUUCAAAGGUGAUUAAUAUCGAUGUCGCAUUGUCAUCUUUUGUGACUGUUAAAGCAUACUAACAAGUUUGUGAAAUAUUUUUUCUUAAAAAUCUAACUUAACGUCCCCAACAAUGCGCCAGCAAUAAUAAUAUCUCUAUUUCUUAAUGUUUUUAGUAUAAUGAAUCAGCUCAUAUUGUUGGGACAGGAAAUAUCGUUCAAUCAGCUCCACCUCCCGGAGGUAAAUUUAUAUGAGGCGGCGCGCGAUUCUUUGGAUGU
This is a non-coding RNA of Paramuricea clavata, 1269 nucleotides long. Lineage: Eukaryota; Metazoa; Cnidaria; Anthozoa; Malacalcyonacea; Plexauridae. The record is from the annotation of a GenBank genome assembly.